CCAGGGAACUCACAAGAGUCUCCUCCAGCACCACAAUUCAAAAGCAUCAAUUCUUUGGUGAUCAGCCUUCUUUAUGGUCCAGCUCUCACUUCCAUACAUCGCUACUGGAAAAACCAUAGCUUUGACUAUGCAGACCUUUGUCGGCAAGGUGAUGUCUCUGCUUUUUAAGAUGCUGUCAAGGUUUGUCAUUGCUUUCCUCCCAAGAAGGUGUCUUUUAAUUUCAGGGCUGCUGUCACCAUCUGCAGUGAUCAUGGAGCCCAAGAAGGUAAAAUCUGUCACUGCUUCCAUAUCCUCACCUUCUAUUUGCCAGGAGGUGAUAGGGCCAGUCGCCAUGAUCUUAGUUUUUUAUGAUGUAGAGCUUCAGACCAUUUUUGUGCUCUCCUCUUUUACACUCAUUAAGAGUAUCCUAUCAUCAUCACUUUCUGCCAUCAGAGUGGUAUUAUCUGCAUAUCUGGGGCUGUUGAUAUUUAUUCUGACAAUCUUAAUUCCAUUUUGGGAUUCAUCCACUCCAGCCUUUCUCAUGAUGUAUUCUGCAUAUAAGUUAAGUAAAUGGCUAGUCAGGUAUAUUCUAAACCAAAUCCCUUAUGAAUUCACAGUGGAAGUGAAGAAUAGAUUUAAGGAACUAGACUUGGUGGACAGAGUGCCUGAAGAACUAUGGAUGGAGGCUCGUAACAUUGUACAGAAAGCAGCAACAAAAACCAUCCCAAAGAAAAGGAAAUGCAAGAAAGCAAAGUGGCUGUCCAAGGAAGCCUUACAAAUAGCAGAGAAGAAAAGGGAAACAAAAUGCAAGGGAGAAGGGAGACAGGGAAAGUUACAGAAAAUGGAAUGCUGACUUCUAAAGAAUAGCAAGGAGAGACAAGAGGGCCUUAUUAAAUGAACAGUGCAAAGAUAUAGAGGAAAAUAAUGGAAAGGGAAAUGUGGGAAACUUCUGCUUAAAGGUUGUAGCUGCAUUCUGUUCCAGUGAUGCGGAUACACUCCUGAAAGGAAGUGGCAGCUGCCAGCAGGCGAGGUAACCCCUUAUUCUGCCCUUUCGCUUAGAGGUAGAGCACAAGAUCAAAGCGUUAUUUCAACCAAUCUUAGUUACAAUUAGGU
Molecule: long non-coding RNA, 1092 nt
Filed under: Pogona vitticeps (central bearded dragon)
Lineage: Eukaryota; Metazoa; Chordata; Lepidosauria; Squamata; Agamidae
Description: lncRNA (ENSPVIG00000004912.1)
Source: RNAcentral